UACGUAGGGGGCAAGCGUUGUCCGGAUUCAUUGGGCGUAAAGAGCGUGUAGGCGGCCAGGUAGGUCGGUUGUGAAAACUGGAGGCUCAACCUUCAGAGGUCGACCGAAACCAUCUGGCUAGAGUCCGGGAGAGGAGAGUGGAAUUCCUGGUGUAGCGGUGAAAUGCGUAGAGAUUAGGAAGAACACCAGUGGCGAAGGCGACUUACUGGACUGUAACUGACGCUGAGGCAUGAAAGCGUGGGGAGCAAACAGG
RNAcentral lists this ribosomal RNA (253 nucleotides) under uncultured bacterium. RNAcentral's name for it is "partial 16S ribosomal RNA". It matches the Rfam family "Bacterial small subunit ribosomal RNA", at positions 524 to 776 of the family's 1533-position model. The record is from RNAcentral.